RNAcentral lists this ribosomal RNA (305 nucleotides) under uncultured bacterium. RNAcentral describes it as "bacterial SSU rRNA". It matches the Rfam family "Bacterial small subunit ribosomal RNA", at positions 491 to 793 of the family's 1533-position model. The record is from RNAcentral.
CACCGGCUAACUCCGUGCCAGCAGCCGCGGUAAUACGGAGGGUGCGAGCGUUAAUCGGAAUUACUGGGCGUAAAGCGCAUGCAGGUGGUUUGUUAAGUCAGAUAGUGAAAGCCCGGGGCGUCAACCUCGGAAUUGCAUUUGAAACUGGCAAACUAGAGUACUGUAGAGGGGGUAGAAUUUCAGGUGUAGCGGUGAAAUGCGUAGAGAUCUGAAGGAAUACCGGUGGCGAAGGCGGCCCCCUGGACAGAUACUGACACUCAGAUGCGAAAGCGUGGGGAGCAAACAGGAUUUAGAUACCCUGGUAG